RNAcentral lists this transfer-messenger RNA (401 nucleotides) under Lachnospiraceae. RNAcentral describes it as "Acetatifactor sp014804645 Standard tmRNA". It matches the Rfam family "transfer-messenger RNA". From Rfam's summary of the family: Bacterial tmRNA, also known as 10Sa RNA or SsrA, is named for its dual tRNA and mRNA-like properties. Its role is to liberate the mRNA from a stalled ribosome. RNAcentral also lists the same sequence under 1 other name. The record is from RNAcentral. Lineage: Bacteria; Bacillati; Bacillota; Clostridia; Lachnospirales.
GGGGUAGUAAAGGUUUCGACAGGGGUCUUGCAGCUGGAGAAGCUAUCCGUUGCGACACGUUAAUCGCACAAUUAAACUAAACGCUGAAGACAAUAAUCAGUUAGCGUUCGCAGCUUAGUAAUAAGCUGCGAAUGACGCCGCCUCAGGCGGCUUGUCCGGUCCGGGGCACCCACACUUCGGAGUCCGGGCAUCGACUAUGUGGGAAACGACGCGCGGUAAGCUUUGCCCGCGCGGGCGUAUCAUGAAGCUACCGAUCCGGCGGGGGAGUCUGUUCGCCAGCCGGUGAUUGGAAAAUGUGGUAAACCUCCCUUCGGGAACUUAACCACCAACAACAGACUAUGAUAGUAGAAGGACAGGGAAUGGGCUUUUGGACACGGGUUCGACUCCCGUCUACUCCACUC